This 718-nucleotide ribosomal RNA is filed under the name uncultured eukaryote. RNAcentral describes it as "SSU rRNA". It matches the Rfam family "Eukaryotic small subunit ribosomal RNA", at positions 572 to 1296 of the family's 1831-position model. The record is from RNAcentral.
AGCCGCGGUAAUUCCAGCUCCAAUAGCGUAUAUUAAAGUUGUUGCAGUUAAAAAGCUCGUAGUCGGAUUUCGGGGCCUGCCGAGCGGUCUGCCGAUGGGUAUGCACUGUUCGGCGCGUCCUUCUUUCCGGAGACUCAUUCUACUCUUAACUGAGCGGAAUUGGGAGACGGAUCGUUUACUUUGAAAAAAUCAGAGUGUUUCAAGCAGGCAGCUCGCUCUUGCAUGGAUUAGCAUGGGAUAAUGAAAUAGGACUCUGGUGCUAUUUUGUUGGUUUCGAACACCGGAGUAAUGAUUAACAGGGACAGUCAGGGGCACUCGUAUUCCGUCGAGAGAGGUGAAAUUCUCAGACCAAUGGAAGACGAACCACUGCGAAAGCAUUUGCCAGGGAUGUUUUCACUGAUCAAGAACGAAAGUUAGGGGAUCGAAGACGAUCAGAUACCGUCGUAGUCUUAACCAUAAACCAUGCCGACUAGGGAUUGGAGGGUGUUCUAUUCGACCCCUUCAGCACCUUACGGGAAACUAAAGUCUUUGGGUUCCGGGGGGAGUAUGGUCGCAAGGCUGAAACUUAAAGGAAUUGACGGAAGGGCACCACCAGGAGUGGAGCCUGCGGCUUAAUUUGACUCAACACGGGGAAACUUACCAGGUCCAGACAUUGUUAGGAUUGACAGAUUGAGAGCUCUUUCUUGAUUCGAUGGGUGGUGGUGCAUGGCCGUUCUUA